UCCCAGUGGCUCAGUUGGUAAAGAAUCUGCCUGCAAUGCAGGAGGCCUGGGUUUGAUCCCUGGGUUGGGAA
RNAcentral lists this transfer RNA (71 nucleotides) under Bos taurus (domestic cattle). It matches the Rfam family "tRNA". Rfam says of the family: Transfer RNA (tRNA) molecules are approximately 80 nucleotides in length. Their secondary structure includes four short double-helical elements and three loops (D, anti-codon, and T loops). RNAcentral also lists the same sequence under 1 other name. Lineage: Eukaryota; Metazoa; Chordata; Mammalia; Artiodactyla; Bovidae. The record is from Rfam by way of RNAcentral.